Long non-coding RNA from Phodopus roborovskii (desert hamster), 1325 nucleotides. RefSeq lists it as uncharacterized. The transcript has 4 exons. The record is from RefSeq and is a predicted model, not a curated record. NCBI's taxonomy places the organism in Eukaryota, Metazoa, Chordata, Mammalia, Rodentia, Cricetidae.
CUUUUCUAGAUCUUCCCCAAGAAGUAUGGGCUCGUUGCUUUCCUGUGUUGGUGACCUAUUCCCUUUGACGAUCCCUAGGAGGAGAUGGGGCAUAAGGAUCCUCCAGGGGAAUAGCUCACCACCACUGGACAACAGCCCUAGCCCUGGGGAUUUCACUGAGACACUUUGCUGAGGCCAGCAAGGGAGAUAAAGAGUCAAAGAUAGCCACCCUACGUCAAUCACAAUAGGACAAAAAGCUGCCACAGUAGUGGCACCGACAUCACGAGCAAGUCGUUCUGUUUCAUCUGCUUCUCAAAGUCCCUGGAAGCUCUGGAGGAGAAGCUUACCAGCUGUUUGCAUACAUCAAGAUUCACUGUGCUACCCACAGGAUAGAAUAUCCACUCCACCUACCAGGUCAUCAUCCUUCCCCAAAGCAGUACAGGAAGCUGCAUCUUCAGCAGGAUCAUGAAGGGAAGCCAGCCUCAUGAGCCAAGGACCAACAUGCCUGCAUCUUAAAACCACAACAGAAUGAAUGAGUGUGUGCUGUGCUGUGCGUUUGUUUUUUCAUUGCUCUAUUCAUCUAUUUCUUCCGUUCUUUGUCUGUCUAAUUCUAUGUGGCCAUUUCACUCCUUGCUUUAUGUCUUCCUAGCUUUGUGUGUCUAAUUUUUUUUAAUGUAUAUAUUUCCUCCUUGUUUUGUAUGUCCUUCUUUGCUUUGUAUUGUUAAUUUUUCUUUGUGUCCAUUUAUUCCUUGCCAUGUGUUGUAUGUCUUUCUUCCUUGCUUGUAUGUCUGUCUUCCAUGCUCGGAUGUCUUCUUGGCUUGUAUCUUUCUUCGUUGCCUUGUAUAUCUUUCUUCUUUGCUUGUAGUCUAUGUCUUUCUCCCUGCCUGGUAUUCUAUGUCUUUCUCCUUUCCUUGUAUUCUAUGUCUUUCUCCUUUCCUUGUAUUCUAUGUCUUUCUCCUUUCCUUGUAUUCUAUGUCUUCUUUGCUUGUAUGUCUUUGUCCCUGCCUUGUGUUCUAUGUCUUUGUCCCUGCCUUGUAUUCUAUGUCUUUCUUCUUUGCUUGUAUGUCUUUCUCCCUGCCUUGUAUUCUAAGUCUUUCUUCCUUUCCUUGUAUUCUAUGUCUUUGUCCCUGCCUUGUAUUCUAUGUCUUUCUUCUUUCCUUGUAUGUCUUUGUCCCUGCCUUGUAUUCUAAGUCUUUCUUCCUUUCCUUGUAGUCUAUGUCUUUCUCCUUGAAUUGUGUUGUGUCUUUCUCCCUUGCCUUGUAUUCUAUGUCUUUGUCCCUGCCUUGUAUUCUAUGUCUGUCUCCUUUCCUUGUAUUCUAUGUCUUUCUCCCUGCCUUGUAUUCUAU